CUACGGGAAGGCAGCAGUAGGGAAUCUUCCACAAUGGACGCAAGUCUGAUGGAGCAACGCCGCGUGAGUGAAGAAGGUUUUCGGAUCGUAAAGCUCUGUUGUUGGUGAAGAAGGAUAGUGAGAGUAACUGGUCUUGACGGUAAUCAACCAGAAAGUCACGGCUAACUACGUGCCAGCAGCCGCGGUAAUACGUAGGUGGCAAGCGUUGUCCGGAUUUAUUGGGCGUAAAGCGAGCGCAGGCGGAAUGAUAAGUCUGAUGUGAAAGCCCCCGGCUCAACCGGGGAACUGCAUCGGAAACUGUCAUUCUUGAGUGCAGAAGAGGAGAGUGGAAUUCCAUGUGUAGCGGUGGAAUGCGUAGAUAUAUGGAGGAACACCAGUGGCGAAGGCGGCUCUCUGGUCUGUAACUGACGCUGAGGCUCGAAAGCGUGGGGAGCAAACAGGAUUAGAUACCCUGGUAGU
RNAcentral lists this ribosomal RNA (459 nucleotides) under Lactobacillus delbrueckii. Its description in RNAcentral is "bacterial SSU rRNA". It matches the Rfam family "Bacterial small subunit ribosomal RNA", at positions 339 to 794 of the family's 1533-position model. The record is from RNAcentral. Lineage: Bacteria; Bacillati; Bacillota; Bacilli; Lactobacillales; Lactobacillaceae.